RNAcentral lists this ribosomal RNA (502 nucleotides) under uncultured bacterium. Its description in RNAcentral is "partial 16S ribosomal RNA". It matches the Rfam family "Bacterial small subunit ribosomal RNA", at positions 28 to 507 of the family's 1533-position model. The record is from RNAcentral.
GACGAACGCUGGCGGCGUGCCUAAUACAUGCAAGUCGAACGAACCGCGACUAGGUGCUUGCACUUGGUCAAGGUGAGUGGCGAACGGGUGAGUAACACGUGGGUAACCUACCUCAUAGUGGGGGAUAACAGUCGGAAACGACUGCUAAUACCGCAUAGGACAUAGGAUCACAUGAUCCAGUGAGGAAAGGUGGCGCAAGCUAUCGCUAAGAGAUGGACCCGCGGUGCAUUAGCUAGUUGGUAGGGUAAAGGCCUACCAAGGCGAUGAUGCAUAGCCGACCUGAGAGGGUGAUCGGCCACAUUGGGACUGAGACACGGCCCAAACUCCUACGGGAGGCAGCAGUAGGGAAUCUUCCGCAAAGGACGCAAGUCUGACGGAGCAACGCCGCGUGAGUGAAGAAGGUCUUCGGAUCGUAAAGCUCUGUUGUUAGAGAAGGACAGCGCAUAGAGUAACUGUUAUGCGUGUGACGGUAUCUAACCAGAAAGCCACGGCUAACUACGUG